RNAcentral lists this ribosomal RNA (441 nucleotides) under Enterococcus faecium. Its description in RNAcentral is "bacterial LSU rRNA". It matches the Rfam family "Bacterial large subunit ribosomal RNA", at positions 1231 to 1668 of the family's 2925-position model. The record is from RNAcentral. Lineage: Bacteria; Bacillati; Bacillota; Bacilli; Lactobacillales; Enterococcaceae.
GGAGAGCGUUCUAAGGGCGUCGAAGGCAGAUCGUGAGGACUGCUGGAGCGCUUAGAAGUGAGAAUGCCGGUAUGAGUAGCGAAAGACAGGUGAGAAUCCUGUCCACCGAAUGACUAAGGUUUCCUGGGGAAGGCUCGUCCGCCCAGGGUUAGUCGGGACCUAAGCCGAGGCCGAUAGGCGUAGGCGAUGGAUAACAGGUUGAUAUUCCUGUACCCGUUGUUUUUGUUUGAGCAAUGGAGGGACGCAGGAGGCUAAGGAAUGCAGACGAUCGGAAAUGUCUGUCCAAGCAGUAAGUCUGAAGAGGAGUCAAAUGCUUCUUUUUUUAAGGACAAGCUGCGAUGGGGAGGGAAAUAAUAGUACCGAAGUUCCUGAUGUCACACUGCCGAGAAAAGCUUCUAGUGAGAAAACAGCGGCCCGUACCGCAAACCGACACAGGUAGUC